This 1716-nucleotide long non-coding RNA is filed under the name Trifolium pratense (red clover). RNAcentral describes it as "long non-coding RNA (TPRA_LNC003760)". The record is from RNAcentral. Lineage: Eukaryota; Viridiplantae; Streptophyta; Magnoliopsida; Fabales; Fabaceae.
GAAGAGAGAAAUGAGAGAUUGGUUGAAAAGUAGUAUAUGUUAUUAAUUGAUAUAUAGAAAAACUAUUUAAUUUGAAAUUUGAAAUUGAAAUUUUGCCUCCAAAAAGAAAGUGGUUGUGCAUUUAAUGUAAGUGGCACAUGUAUUUUUUUUGAGAAUAUGGAAGGUAAAGGGUAUGUAGGUAAUUUACAUGGAUAUUUCUUUGUUGGAUAGAAGUAGAUGGAUGUUUAGUUAAUAUUAAUAAUUAAUUAAUAAACAAAUAUUAUAUUUUUUCUAAUCACACUCUAAAACACCUUGGUUUUUUUUGAAGAAGUCUAAAACACCUUGGUUACACUUCAAAUUGACUAAAAUACCCUUAAACAUAGUUUGUGUACAUGUGAACUCAGUUUACAUAAUCUUAAAUAAACUAAGUUUAUUUAAAUUAUGUAUAUCGGUCUCAUAAGUAUAGUUCAAAUGCUAACUACCAGUGAUAUUAUUGGAGUAGUCGGGGUUCGAAUUCCGGAUUUCACAUUUCUCCAUAUUUAAAUGUGUGAGUCUUGCUACUAGGCUACUUGAAAAAAAAAUUAUGUAAAUUGAAUUAACGUGAACCUUUUUUUUUUGUACAAACGUGAACCCUUUAAACUGAAUGUAAAUGUGACUGAGUUUACGAAAGGUUGAGUGAAUUGAAUUUAUUCAGGUUAUAUAAAAUUAAUUUAAGUAUGAAAUCACAUGAAAAAAGAAUUCCCUACAAUUGAGAAAGUAUAAAUUCACUAAUCUAUGAAAUAAAGUCUUAGCAAAAUAUCUUUAAAAUUCAAUUUUUCAUAUUGUGAUUAAUGACACAUUAAUGGAGUUUAUGAAUUUGUGAGAGAGAAUGCAUUAAUGAAAUUUAUUAGAGAGAGAAGCCCGAAGCAAAAGCAUAAAAAGAUGAAAAUUGGUUUUUAAAAAAUUAUAUAAAGAAUGACAAUUUUGGUAUUAUGAUUCAAUUUUAAUGAAAUUUGAGUGUAACUAGUUUUUUUGGAUGUAACUAAAAAAAUUUCAAAUAUUAUUAUUGUCGCAAAGAUAAAAUAUCAAUGACACUCACAUAAGAACAUCUCCAAUUGUGUUACUGAUAACUCUGUUAUUAUACGCUAAAAGUGACUUAAUUCAAGGAAGAUUUAGAUGACCUUUUGAUGAUUUUUAAGCUUAGAAUAAGUGGAAUUCAUGGUUUUGAAGAGUUGGUUUAUGUUGGAAGAAACAAGGAAAAACUGUCAAAAAGUGUUGCUGAAGACCUAAAAAGCUGUUAAAAACUGUUGUUGAAGGCCUAAAAACUGUUGCUGAAAGUGUUGCGUCUUGCGCCCCAAAUGCUACGUCUAGCGCAAUUAAGCUAUUUUUUUUUACAUUUUCUCGUUGUUCUCUGCGCGGGAGGGCAGCGCCUAGGCGCAAUGCUGACCUUGUUGACCCAUGUUUGCACUAUUUAAAGAGGAAAACACCCAUUGGAAAGAGGUUACGCAUUUUUGGAUCAAAAUUGAAGAUUGAAGCUCAAUUGGAGUGGAUUCAAGCAAGGAACAAAGGGUGGAAACACUCCAAAACCUCUUGUCAUGAAGAUUUUAUCUCUUCUUCUCCAUGUAAUUUCUACCUUUAAUAUGAGUUUCUAGAUUCUUAGAUUGGAUCUUUAAGGGAAUUUCAUUGUAUUUUGUUUGAACCAUGUGAACUUGAUUCUAUAUGAUUGGAUUAUGAUCUAGUUUUAAUCUUUUAUUCUUU